UUCUCAAAAUAUUCACAUUUAAAGAAUUUCAGAUUUAAUUAUGUUGCAUAAAUUAUGAUGUCAUAUUUAAGUAAUAGCAAAUUUUGACAUUUUCUAUAGAUAGAUGUGCAUAUUUUACAUGGCUAGCCUCACAAAUAUCGAGGGAUAUACCCUGUCUAUUAUUUCCAGGAGGGGCCAUGGCUUAGAUGGAGAGUCCUAGAGUAUUUAAUGCUCAUUUUAAGCGACGCAGACCCAAUUAGGGCCCGCGCUCUACUAGACAACUCCCGGCAACAUCCAACGGCCCACACAGUGUGCCAUCUUCCCAAUUUCCCUCACAUGGCUUGGGUUAACCCGGGGCUAUGGUAACAUUCACUCGCCCAUGUUGAAUCGCCGUCAAGAGGAAUCGAACCCCGGUCUCCCGCACAGAGUACGAGAGCUAUAACCACUAAUCUACGGCGCCAC
This is a long non-coding RNA of Hydractinia symbiolongicarpus, 441 nucleotides long. RefSeq lists it as uncharacterized. NCBI's taxonomy places the organism in Eukaryota, Metazoa, Cnidaria, Hydrozoa, Anthoathecata, Hydractiniidae. The transcript has 2 exons. The record is from RefSeq and is a predicted model, not a curated record.